Molecule: long non-coding RNA, 1227 nt
Organism: Octopus bimaculoides (California two-spot octopus)
Lineage: Eukaryota; Metazoa; Mollusca; Cephalopoda; Octopoda; Octopodidae
Source: RefSeq, a predicted model, not a curated record
GCUACAAGGGGUAGCACGCAUUUUUAUCUGUCUCUUGUCAAAGCUUGUUUCACCAGCAUUCACCACUUCACCUCUUUAUGACUCUUAACAGCCCUUACCGUUUGUUUUAACUGUUCUGUUUUUGUUACCAACCUCGACCCUCUGCAAAUCCCAAAUUUUAUUUAAUUUGCUUUGCGGGAUUGACUGUUUUGACAAAGACACAUCUUGUCCUAACGUUCAAAAUGCAGAGUUGAUAAAACAUUGGACAACAUAUGAAGGGAUUGUUCUUUAUGUUGCCUGUCUUGUUUUUCUAUUUGUUUCUUUUACUGUUCGCAAAAAGUCAAGCACAGCUUUCCACUCCAUGCCUCCAUUUGCUUCUCAUCAUUAGAAGAUGAAGGGGUGGUACUACAGAGAGCUGGGCCUUCUACUUUGUGGUCAUUAGCUGCUGGGGAUGUGAUCGAGGCAAUUAAUUCCAGUCAUCUUUAAAGCCAGUACCGUUUUUUUCUUGAAACUGCUGUUUCUUGAUUCUGAUGUUAUUGCUGACCCUGUUACUAUCCACCUCUCUCUUUCCUUCUCUGCCUUCCCAGCUUCUCAGAACAGAAAGCCCUUGAGUGACACCUAUUUCCAUAAGUGCAACAACUGGGCUUUCUGUCCUGCACCAUCAGUUGUAAUGGUUUCCCUUUUUGCAUCCACGAUGGGGUGCAGCUCUGGUAUGGUUUAAUGGUUUCCAGAGGUCAUCAGGACCUGCAUGUCUAUGCAGACACUAGCUGGCUGCAUAUUGAUUUUGCUUACUCAGCUCGGCACUCAAAGUCUGCCUGUACUACUUGCAAAUAUGACGACGAACCAAAAGUCAAUAUUACCAGCAAUUUCUCAGGCUGUGAUUCCACUGUGUUCCACCGUCGCAUAUAUUGCAGCAAGAAGUUGCUUGUAGGUGUGUAUGGUGCAUCAAAAGUAGCCUGUUACCUCGGUUCAUGUUCUUUCUUGAAGAUCAGGCAUGCUAUGGAAACCACAAUAUUCUAUACACAAGCCAGAGCUUCUUUCAUGUCUUCUUUUGAGGACAUUCUGUAAAAAAUUCACUUUUUAAUAGGUAUGUCACUUUUCUCGUUGACCUUUCAAGAUAUGAGACAAGGUGACAGAAAAUUUUGACAUACUUAUCUCACGUUCUUUUCUCUCUUUCUUUCUCUGUCUGUCUCUCUCUCUUCUUUAAGUCCACCCCUAUCCUGAAUAAACUUUUCAACAUUAACAUAA